GGGGUUGUAGCUCAGUGGUGGAGCCCUUGCCUCACACAUAUGAGGUACUGGGUUCAAUCCUCAGCACCACA
This 71-nucleotide transfer RNA is filed under the name Marmota monax (woodchuck). RNAcentral describes it as "tRNA.Val". The record is from RNAcentral. Lineage: Eukaryota; Metazoa; Chordata; Mammalia; Rodentia; Sciuridae.